RNAcentral lists this ribosomal RNA (1009 nucleotides) under Levilactobacillus zymae. Its description in RNAcentral is "bacterial SSU rRNA". It matches the Rfam family "Bacterial small subunit ribosomal RNA", at positions 446 to 1460 of the family's 1533-position model. The record is from RNAcentral. Lineage: Bacteria; Bacillati; Bacillota; Bacilli; Lactobacillales; Lactobacillaceae.
AGAGUAACUGUUCAAGGGUUGACGGUAUUUAACCAGAAAGCCACGGCUAACUACGUGCCAGCAGCCGCGGUAAUACGUAGGUGGCAAGCGUUGUCCGGAUUUAUUGGGCGUAAAGCGAGCGCAGGCGGUUUUUUAAGUCUGAUGUGAAAGCCUUCGGCUUAACCGGAGAAGUGCAUCGGAAACUGGGAGACUUGAGUGCAGAAGAGGACAGUGGAACUCCAUGUGUAGCGGUGGAAUGCGUAGAUAUAUGGAAGAACACCAGUGGCGAAGGCGGCUGUCUAGUCUGUAACUGACGCUGAGGCUCGAAAGCAUGGGUAGCGAACAGGAUUAGAUACCCUGGUAGUCCAUGCCGUAAACGAUGAGUGCUAAGUGUUGGAGGGUUUCCGCCCUUCAGUGCUGCAGCUAACGCAUUAAGCACUCCGCCUGGGGAGUACGACCGCAAGGUUGAAACUCAAAGGAAUUGACGGGGGCCCGCACAAGCGGUGGAGCAUGUGGUUUAAUUCGAAGCUACGCGAAGAACCUUACCAGGUCUUGACAUCUUCUGCCAAUCUUAGAGAUAAGACGUUCCCUUCGGGGACAGAAUGACAGGUGGUGCAUGGUUGUCGUCAGCUCGUGUCGUGAGAUGUUGGGUUAAGUCCCGCAACGAGCGCAACCCUUAUUAUCAGUUGCCAGCAUUCAGUUGGGCACUCUGGUGAGACUGCCGGUGACAAACCGGAGGAAGGUGGGGAUGACGUCAAAUCAUCAUGCCCCUUAUGACCUGGGCUACACACGUGCUACAAUGGACGGUACAACGAGUUGCGAAGUCGUGAGGCUAAGCUAAUCUCUUAAAGCCGUUCUCAGUUCGGAUUGUAGGCUGCAACUCGCCUACAUGAAGUUGGAAUCGCUAGUAAUCGCGGAUCAGCAUGCCGCGGUGAAUACGUUCCCGGGCCUUGUACACACCGCCCGUCACACCAUGAGAGUUUGUAACACCCAAAGCCGGUGAGAUAACCUUCGGGAGUCAGCCGUCUAA